Molecule: ribosomal RNA, 403 nt
Filed under: uncultured bacterium
Lineage: Bacteria
Description: partial 16S ribosomal RNA
Rfam family: Bacterial small subunit ribosomal RNA
Source: RNAcentral
AUUGAACGCUGGCGGCAGGCCUAACACAUGCAAGUCGAGCGAGCGGCGGACGGGUGAGUAAUGUAUGGGGACUGCCCGCUAGAGGGGGAUAAAUCCUGGAAACGGUAGCUCAUACCGCAUACUAUCUGAUCACCCACAUGGGAUUCGCUCGUAGGUGAGGUAAGGGCUCACCUCGGCGACGAUCCCUAGCUGGUCUGAGAGGAUGAUCAGCCACACGGGGACUGAGACACGGCCCAGACUCCUACGGAGGCAGCAGUGGGGAAUAUUGCACAAUGGGCGCAAGCCUGAUGCAGCCAUGCCGCGUGUAUGAAGAAGGCCCUAGGGUUGUAAAGUACUUUCAGUCGGGAGGCGUUACCGACAGAAGAAGCACCGGCUAACUCCGUGCCAGCAGCCGCGGUAAUUC